GUGAGUUGAGUUUCUUAAAAUUGUAUUUCUUUAAAAACACCCGUGAAUACUGUAGUAGUUGAAACUAGAAAUGGUCCCCCAUUGUCUUGAGCAUUUGACAAUUGAUCUUCCCCUAGUCGGUUGUGCUGUUUCGGGAGGUUCAGGUGACACAACCUUGCUGGAGGAAGUUACGUCACUGGGGGCGGGCUCUGAGAGUAAACAGUCUCCGCCACUUCCGGUUCAUUCUCCCUGCCCUGUGCGUAACCAUUCGAGACCUGAACUCUCAGCAUCCAGUUCCUGAGGCCAUGCUUGCUGUUUGCUGCCACUUCUUCCCACCAUAGGACUCUCGUAGGUCGCCCUUGGGCUAUUGGUUCUAUCCCACUUUGAGUAGUGAUAGAAGAAGACUUUGAAUCUGUCACUUCUUCCCCCGGGGCUGGUGAUAACUGGGUGACCAGAAGUCACAAAGGAAGAUGGAAAGCGCCCAAUGGCAGUCUCCAGCUCCUGCACUGAGAGGUUGCUGGACCUGUCUUACUUGGGGGACACUUUGAGAGAGGAGGGAGUGGGGGCACAGACCAGAUAUGUUAACUAGGAGACACUGAGGCCACUGGUCCACACAAGGAGCACAUUCGAGACAGCCAAGUGCUAGACAAACCUGACAGCAGCCAAUAACAGCAGCUGACACUUCUUAACUAGAAACAACCACUGUGCUGCCGAAACUGUACCUGUGUUUUAUACGGUCAUCUGUUUAAUCUCUUCCUUAGAAUUCAUGAAGGGAGAAGACAGCCUUGUACAAAGUAAGUAAUGAGGGAAGUCAUGCGGCCUGUAAGAAGUAGUUAAACUUCAAACCCAUGUCCUUUCGACUGUUUUGAUGACUUUGUAAAUGCCGACUUGGGUGACAUAGAAUCUACUGAGGAGAGAGGGAUUGCCUAGAUUAGGUUGGACUCUGGGCAGGUCCUGGGGAUUGUCUUGUUUGUUAACUGGUGUUGACAGACACAGCCCACUGUGGGCGGCACUUAUCCCUUAGGCAGGGAGUCCUGAACUACAUGGGACAGGAGAAAGCUAGAGAAAGCAAGCGGGCAGCACAAGGACAUUUGCUCUCUCUGACAUUAACUUUGUAUGUGUGGAUAGCUGUUUUAAAUCCCUGUCUUGAUUUCUCCUCAGUAAAGAAAGGCAGCCUGGAACUGAAAACAGAAAUGAACCCCUUCCCUCCCCCAAGGUACAUUUGGUCAGGAUAAUUCAUCACAGCAAUGGGCAUGAAACUAUAAGAGCUGCUUGAUUCUUUGCUCCUGCUGCUUUUUUAAAAAGUUUUAUACUAGUGCAUAUUUAUUCCACAUGACAAGAGGAUUCAUGAUGACAUUCCGUGCAUGUAUGUUGCAUCAUCCUGGUUGUUUUCAGCAUCACACCAAGUCCUUUCAAACAGCGGAACAGAUCUCUGGCCCUGUCUCAAUGAAUGGGGACUUCGGGACACUUCUUGGGCCAAAUUACCACUCAUCCCAUGGACUCUAGCUCCCUGUUUCUAUAGCCUUUUCUCUAGAAGAAGAUCUCAGCCAUACUGGGAUGCUGAUGAUAAUUGAAAUUCAGAAGAAGUCAUGAAUCAAAGCAACAUGUAGCCAUUGCCUUGAGCUGGUAUAAUCUAAACCCAAACCCUGUCUGGUCAUAUCUCAGCCCCCUUGACCCUUCGUGCUACAGGUGAUCUGAAUGAAACUCUCCUGUCUUCCCAGAAGGAUAACAGCGAAGGGUAAAACAAUUGAACACUUUCUAGAGGCUUCUGGCCUUAGAGCUUCCUGGAAGUCCCAGUGAAGGUAGAAUGGUUUUCGUAACUGUUGCAGUUGGUCUGCUUGCUGUCUUACCCUCAGGCCAUGGUUACAUGUAGUUUUCCUGUGGUAGUUUGUAAUUGGCACCCGUAGGCCCAUAGGGAAUGAUACUAUUAGGAGGUGUGGCCUUGUUGGAGUGGGUGUGGCUUUGUUGGGUGGGUGUGGCCUCGUUGGAGAGUAAGUGUGUCACUGUAGAGGUCGGCUUUGGGGUCUUACAUAUGCUCAAGCCAUAGCCAGUGGAGCAGUCUCCUGCUGCCUUCGGAUCAUGGCGUAGAACUCUCAGCUCCUCCUGCAUCAUGUUUGCCUGCAUGCCACCAUGCUUCCCACAGUGACGAUAAUGGACUGAGUUUCUAACAUUGUAAGCCAGCCCCAAUUACAUGUCCUUUAUAAGAGUUACCUUGGUCAUGGUGUGUCUUCACAGCCAUGGAAACCCUAAGACAUUUACCAAUUCAGUCUAUUUUCAUAAGGAAGAUAUGUUUUUUGCAGUUACAUUUUUUAAAAGCGUUAACGUGACCAGUAGUUGUUUUUUUUUUCCCCCUCAUGAACCAUAAUUCAUGAGUAAGACGGCCCCACCAGGGCAUUCAACUGAGGGGAUGCUUCUAAGAGCAAUGUCACAGGCUCACAGGCACAGCUCCAAGCCAUGUAACGCUCACCCAGAUGGUCGUUUCUACACGUGGAAUCACACGUGGACUCAGAAUCACAUGUUCCGGUGAAAGCAUGGCUGCAGCUGUGCAACGGCCUCUCCUCUCAGGUGAGUGUGUUACAGGGAGUCGGAGGCCGGGGACUCGCUCCAUUGAAAUCUGAUCCCUUCAGGUCCAGCCUUGUCCCUAAACAUCCAACCCAAGCAAACACCUGUGGGCAUUUCUCUUCUACGCUGGCAAAUCCAAGGUUCCAGCAUAGAGGACAGACAGCUCGUAAAUUCAGGUAUAUGUGUGUUAUGUGUCGACAUACACAUUUUAUUUUUAAAAAAAAGAUUUAAUAUUUUUGAUUUUGUGUAUGCCAGAGGAUGAGGAGAACGGGAAGGUGCUUCGGGAAACCAGAGAUGUCUGAUUCCCCUGGAACUGGAGUUGUGGCCUGUCGUGAGCCACCGAUCCUGAGUGCAAGGGGCCAAACUCAGACCCUCUCCAAUGAGCAGUUCUCACAGUGUAACCUCCGGGUCACCUUUCCAGCCCCAACAUUUUAUUUUCCAUAAGGUUAUUUACUGAGUUACAGUCUUCACCUCUGUUUUCCAGCGAGCCUUUAGAUACUUCAAGAUAUGUCAGGUCUUUUUUCCCCUGCUGUCCCCACUUGAGAUUGCUCACAAACCACAGAACGUUACACACAAGAAUCCUUCAGCAUCUGCAAGGGGAUCCCGAGAUAUGUGGCUGUUCAGGUCGCUUGUACAGAAUGGCACAGUAUAUACAAAGAACCUGUGGACAUUGUCCUGCAUACUCAAAGGCCUGCCUAGAACUUUUCUUCAGUUGUUUUAGAUACUGCUUGCUGUUAAGCACUGCUCCCGGUUGUCAGCUCCAAUUCCUCAGAACAAGACAGUACGCAGGCGCAGGCGUAGGUGUUCGGCCACGCCUUUCCAACCUUUGUGUCUGUCUCCACAGCCAUGGAAGAUGCAGACACCUACAUUCUCUGGAAGCUUUCCCUGACAAGGCAGCCACUCGCUGCUUUAUAAAACCCGUAGGGAAACGCC
Molecule: non-coding RNA, 3474 nt
Organism: Rattus norvegicus (Norway rat)
Lineage: Eukaryota; Metazoa; Chordata; Mammalia; Rodentia; Muridae
Source: RefSeq, a predicted model, not a curated record